RNAcentral lists this ribosomal RNA (465 nucleotides) under uncultured Glomus. RNAcentral describes it as "SSU rRNA". It matches the Rfam family "Eukaryotic small subunit ribosomal RNA", at positions 569 to 1038 of the family's 1831-position model. Lineage: Eukaryota; Fungi; Glomeromycota; Glomeromycetes; Glomerales; Glomeraceae. The record is from RNAcentral.
AGCAGCCGCGGUAAUUCCAGCUCCAAUAGCGUAUAUUAAAGUUGUUGCAGUUAAAAAGCUCGUAGUUGAAUUUCGGGAUCAAUACGUCGGUCGUGCUUUCGGGUACGUACUGGCGUCAUUGGUUUCUCCUUUCUGACGAACCAUGAUGUCAUUAAUUUGGUGUUAUGGGGAGUUAGGACUGUUACUUUGAAAAAUUAGAGUGUUUAAAGCAGGCAUUAGCUUGAAUACAUUAGCAUGGAAUAAUGAAAUAGGACGUUCGAUCCUAUUUUGUUGGUUUCUAGGAUCAACGUAAUGAUUAAUAGGGAUAGUUGGGGGCAUUAGUAUUCAAUUGUCAGAGGUGAAAUUCUUGGAUUUAUUGAAGACUAACUACUGCGAAAGCAUUUGCCAAGGAUGUUUUCAUUAAUCAAGAACGAAAGUUAGGGGAUCGAAGACGAUCAGAUACCGUCGUAGUCUUAACCAUAAACU